CUUCAUCAUCUAAUCCACAAAAUAUCUACCUCCCAAACCAGGUCCCCCUUCACCCAUUUUAAUCCCCCAUCCAUUCCAGAAGAUGACCGGCGCCAAGCUUUACGCGACUAAAAGCCUCGCCAAAACGGCGACCAAAUCGUAACCGCCGCGACAAAGUCUCGUUAGACGCGACAAAGUCUCGUUAGCCGCAUCAUCUCGGUGCCGCCGGCGGGCAAUGGAGGAGGACGAGGGGGCGUCGCCGUUCUCUUUCGUCGGCGCCGCCGUCGAUGGUGAUGGGUGGGAGCCGGUGGGUCCCCCCUUGCCGCCGCCUGCGGCGGAGGAGAACGGCAGGGGUUGGGAAGUGGUCGCCGUCGGUGCCGCCGCCAACGACGACUGCUCCAUCUUCCCCCCCAGCCUCCACGAAGGCCUCCACCUCCGACCCGAUCUCGACCUCAAUCCAACCCUAAUACCUCCCCACCACCACGGCGAACCGGUCGGAGGUCUCGGCGAGUCCUCAUCUCGGCAGCCGAGGCACGAAGAGGAGGGGAGGGGGAGGAGACGACGGCGAUGCGACGGCGGAUGUCGGAUUCGGCCAGGCGUUUGCUCGGUUCGGGGUUGGAGGUGAUCCAUUCGAAGAUUUGUCUCUGGAGAGGAGGGGGAUUGGAUUGUGUGAUUGGAGGGGGUGUUUGGUCGGUCGCCGCGCUGGCUGGGUUUGUGGGGGCUUUGCUGUACCUCAGGCGAAGGUAUCGGAGAGAGAACGAGCUCCUUCUGCUCCUUGUUCAAGAGAAGGACCAGAGGAUAAACCAACUGCUGCAUCAAAUUGCACUAAUGAACGAAAUUCUAGCCCAACGUCACCGGGUUACCAUACUGCGGAGGCUCUGACCUCAUCUGUUUGCAAUCUUGACAGCAGCUUAGGGCAACCGUAAUGCAUUUUAAUGAUCUGAUGCUGCACUAUUCAGUCUCAAUGAGAAUAUUUGUAAUUUACAUUCAUGACACUUCUAUGCUUAUAUAUGUUCUUAAGAGAGGGCAUAUUUAUGUUAUCACAAAAAAAAUCUAGAUGCUUCUUUUUUUAUGUAAAGCAUUUGAAAAUAAUUAUAAGAAUUAAAAGCUCUGCCGAUAUUUUUGAGGACUACUUCCAGAGCUCAAAA
Non-coding RNA from Phoenix dactylifera (date palm), 1127 nucleotides. The record is from RefSeq and is a predicted model, not a curated record. Lineage: Eukaryota; Viridiplantae; Streptophyta; Magnoliopsida; Arecales; Arecaceae.